GUUGGGUGGAGGGCGGCAGGCUAGGAUCCAAAAGAGAGACGCGCGGGGAGAACGUGAAAGAGAAGCAAUGACUGGAGUGAGUUGAGGUUCCUCGGCUCGAGC
RNAcentral lists this small RNA (102 nucleotides) under Oryza sativa Japonica Group (Japanese rice). RNAcentral describes it as "sRNA Os03g0587225". Lineage: Eukaryota; Viridiplantae; Streptophyta; Magnoliopsida; Poales; Poaceae. The record is from RNAcentral.